AUCCUCACUUUGAUUAGACAGCUUCUCCUCAGCCAGGCCUUUUAAAACAAAAUGUUUUUUUUAAUAUAUUUUCCCAGAAUUGAGUAAAUAGUUCCCGUUCUCGGAUUAAGCAGCCAUCUGCUGACAUGGUCAGAAGCAUUGGCAAAAACUGACAGAAAUCCAGGCCUGCUCUGGAUUUAACAGUGUUGUGCUGACCUGAACCUCCCUCACAUCGAAAGUCAAUCACUUCAAAAUCUCAUUUUGUUCUUUUUUGUGGAAACAGCAUUUCGAUUUCCUUUUACCCAUCUCUAGAAUCUGACAUAGAGUGAGAAUCACAGAACUCUACAUCACGGAAACAGGCCCUUUGGCCCACCAUGUCCAUGGCGAUCAGAAAAACCCAUCUAACUAUUCUAAUUCUAUUUUCCAAUGCGGGUGGAACCUAUUCAGUCCGUUGAAGCUGUGCCAGUUCAUUGAAAUUAUUGCCAAUUAGUCCUGCUCCCUUGCUCUUUCCUUUUAUCCUGUCAUUUUCUCACCUUUAUAUUCUCCUUUUGAAAGUCACUAUUGACUCCAUGUGCACUCUCUUUUAGACAGUGCCUACCAAAUCGUAACAGCUAACUGUGUAAGAUUUCUUCUCAUCGCAUCUCCUGUUGCCCAUUCUUUUACAUCUCUGUUCUCUGAUUACGAACCUUUAUGUCACUGGAAACAGUUUUUCUUUAUCUCUUGCACAAUGCUGAUCAUCUGUAUUAGUUCUCCCAAUAGCCUUCUCUUCUCUAAAGAGAAUAAUCCCCUGUUUCUCCAGUCUCAUAGGAACUUUGGAAUUCGGAGCUGGAGUAAACCUUGCUGAUCGCCCUUUCUCACUGGUUUCAUUUAUUUUAGGAAAUUAAGCUGAUAAGAGAAAAAAAAUUUGCGGUACAGACAGAAUUUGCAUACUGCAGAAAACUGUGGUGAAGUGUCCAAGAAAGGAAGAUUGAAUUGCCCAGACUCUACUGCUGAGAAAAACCAGGAAACAGGUAAAAGACGCCUUUCUCUGAGCCAGCAGGCCAGUCAGAAGGAAAAGGGACAAGAAGGACUCUCCUGUUCUGAAUGCUACCAGCCAUCUGCCAUCAAGAGGAAACUGAUCACAUUGAUUUCAACUAUCUGUAAAAGCCAAGAACCUGAAAAGUCAAGUAUUUAUUAAUAAAUGUUCCACUAUCUCCUCUUCACACAUGACCCAUAGAAUCUGAUCCAUAAAUAUUUUAACUUUGA
Molecule: non-coding RNA, 1224 nt
Organism: Chiloscyllium plagiosum (whitespotted bambooshark)
Lineage: Eukaryota; Metazoa; Chordata; Chondrichthyes; Orectolobiformes; Hemiscylliidae
Source: RefSeq, a predicted model, not a curated record